Molecule: transfer RNA, 82 nt
Filed under: Phycisphaerae bacterium
Lineage: Bacteria; Pseudomonadati; Planctomycetota; Phycisphaerae
Also listed under: 3 other names
Description: tRNA-Leu
Rfam family: tRNA
About the family: Transfer RNA (tRNA) molecules are approximately 80 nucleotides in length. Their secondary structure includes four short double-helical elements and three loops (D, anti-codon, and T loops).
Source: RNAcentral
GCCCAGGUGGCGGAAUUGGCAGACGCACCGCUUUGAGGUGGCGGCGAGUAACAUCGUGCAGGUUCAAAUCCUGUCCUGGGCA